UACGGAGGGUGUAAGCGUUAUCCGGAUUUACUGGGUUUAAAGGGUGCGUAGGUGGGUUGGUAAGUCAGUGGUGAAAUACUUUCGCUUAACGAAGGAACUGCCAUUGAUACUACCAGUCUUGAAUACAGUGGAGGUAGGCGGAAUGCGUCAUGUAGCGGUGAAAUGCUUAGAUAUGACGCAGAACACCAAUUGCGAAGGCAGCUUGCUACACUGUUAUUGACACUGAGGCACGAAAGCGUGGGGAUCAAACAGG
RNAcentral lists this ribosomal RNA (253 nucleotides) under uncultured bacterium. Its description in RNAcentral is "partial 16S ribosomal RNA". It matches the Rfam family "Bacterial small subunit ribosomal RNA", at positions 524 to 776 of the family's 1533-position model. The record is from RNAcentral.